GGUGGGGGGGGGGGCCUUAAUACAUUGCAAGUCGAACGCUUUGUCUUUAAUUGAUCUGACGAGCUUGCUCUGAUUUGAUUUUAUCUGACAAAGAGUGGCGAACGGGUGAGUAACACGUGGGUAACCUACCUCUUAGCAGGGGAUAACAUUUGGAAACAAGUGCUAAUACCGUAUAAUACCAACAACCGCAUGGUUGUUGGUUGAAAGAUGGUUCUGCUAUCACUAAGAGAUGGACCCGCGGUGCAUUAGCUAGUUGGUAAGGUAACGGCUUACCAAGGCAAUGAUGCAUAGCCGAGUUGAGAGACUGAUCGGCCACAAUGGGACUGAGACACGGCCCAUACUCCUACGGGAGGCAGCAGUAGGGAAUCUUCCACAAUGGGCGCAAGCCUGAUGGAGCAACGCCGCGUGUGUGAUGAAGGGUUUCGGCUCGUAAAACACUGUUAUAAGAGAAGAACGGCACUGAGAGUAACUGUUCAGUGUGUGACGGUAUCUUACCAGAAAGGAACGGCUAAAUACGUGCCAGCAGCCGCGGUAAUACGUAUGUUCCAAGCGUUAUCCGGAUUUAUUGGGCGUAAAGCGAGCGCAGACGGUUAUUUAAGUCUGAAGUGAAAGCCCUCAGCUCAACUGAGGAAUGGCUUUGGAAACUGGAUGACUUGAGUGCAGUAGAGGAAAGUGGAACUCCAUGUGUAGCGGUGAAAUGCGUAGAUAUAUGGAAGAACACCAGUGGCGAAGGCGGCUUUCUGGACUGUAACUGACGUUGAGGCUCGAAAGUGUGGGUAGCAAACAGGAUUAGAUACCCCUGGUAGUCCACACCGUAAAACGAUGAGUGCUAGAUGUUCGAGGGUUUCCGCCCUUUGAGUGUCGCAGCUUACGCAUUAAGCACUCCGGCCUGGGGGAGUACGACCCGCAAGGUUGAAACUUCAAAGGAAUUUGACGGGGGACCCGCACAACGCGGUGGGAGCAUGUUGGUUUAUUUCGAAGCAACGCGAAGAAACCUUACCAAGUCUUGACAUCCCUUUGCCUAAUCCUAAAAAUAGGACGUCCCCU
Molecule: ribosomal RNA, 1047 nt
Filed under: Weissella paramesenteroides
Lineage: Bacteria; Bacillati; Bacillota; Bacilli; Lactobacillales; Lactobacillaceae
Description: bacterial SSU rRNA
Rfam family: Bacterial small subunit ribosomal RNA
Source: RNAcentral